This is an RNA transcript of Drosophila ficusphila, 1975 nucleotides long. RefSeq lists it as uncharacterized. The record is from RefSeq and is a predicted model, not a curated record. NCBI's taxonomy places the organism in Eukaryota, Metazoa, Arthropoda, Insecta, Diptera, Drosophilidae. The transcript has 2 exons.
UAACAACGAUAAACACUUAGGUAUAUCAAACAAUAAAUAACAAUUGGUUGGCUUUUGAUCACGUUUUCUUGCCGCACACACACACAAAACCAGAAACCAAGAAAUUAACCAUUUAACGAUCACAGCACUCGAAAACCUCUCGAAAACGCUCAGCGUGUGUUGGCGGGACUGACAAACGAUCGAGGAACGAAGGUUUCCUACUCCCGCGAAACGUCAUUGAUGACUAAGAGGCAGUCGCGUAGAAUUACCAGCGAUAUGAGUUAUGAGAGGGAAAUCUCGAAUAAUCUGCAUGUGCUCGGAGCACAGGAGCGAAUCGCAGAGAAGGCCGUUGUUUAUACAAGACAUACAAUGGUUGUCCUCUUUCAUAAACAAGUUUUUGCUUUCCUUGUUAGGUUUUUUGACGGAAAUGAAAUGACUAAAAACCAUAUGAAAUUUUUAAAUAUAAAUAUUAAUACAUAAUACAAAAUGAAAAAGCAAAUUUUAUGAUAUUUUUUAUUAAUGUAAACCCUACUCGUUAAAAGCCAAAUUCUAUUUUCUAUUAAAAAAAAAAAACAAACAAGCAAAAGGCGUUUCAUUAUGUACAUAACUGUAUUGACAAGCACCUCGUGCUUCUAGAUUCCCCUCCUGGUACCAAAUUUUGUUUUUACAGCUACUUUUUCUCAUGCUAUGAAUUCAAAAGGCUCCCACGUUGGUUUUUCUCCUUUAUUUUUGGCAAGCCGAAACCCAAACAAAAAAAAUAGCGAGCGGCGAUAAAACAAAUGUCAACCAAAAAGUUCAAAGAUGAGCUGCGCAGCAACAGUAACAUAAACAACGUAAGAUGGGCACACUCCGCGCUCGGAAUCCAAAUGAGGAUAUAUCAAGCGACAAUGGAAGAAAAGAAGACGCGCCAAAAGUCAUCAAAGCAAUCAAAUAAAUUUACAACAAUAAACGCGCUUCAACCAAAUUGGUCAAAGCGAAAUGUGAGCAAACUAAUUAGCCUGAAGAACAACGGCACAGCACAACAGAGUCGAAGCAGAGGAGCCCUCGACGAAGAAGCCUACAUACUAACUAUACAGGUGCGCAGAGGUGAGCGCCUGACAUUUGCUAAGAAAAGGUUAAGGCCUCCAGAACGAAUCGGAUGAAUCAGCAGACUAUGAAAAUCGCAAGUGCAGAGAUUAUAUUUACAUAUAUUCAGGGAAUACUUUUUGAAAAUUUAAUGUUUUUGUUCAACCGAAGUAAAUUAACUAGGAAGUACACCAAUUUGCAAUGCAAUUCAACUAAUAAACUGCGCCCUUUAAGCACUAAUAAAUAUUUUUACUGAACUUAGUUUAGGUAAUUUCGUUGGUGUGUUGAAAUGUUAACAUAUAAUUUUUGUUUCAAAAUAUUUCUCUAAAUUUCUUAAUAGCAAUAAAAGUAGUCCAAGGGUGCAAAUAACGUUCUGUAAAAUAUUUCAAGAAAUUUAUAACUGUUUAGGGUGAAGUAAUAUUUUUUUAUACGAAAACCAACUAUACAUGAUUGGGUUGAAGAAACAUUUCAAAUACAACAGUACAUAUUAAUAUAUGUAUAUUUAAACAAAAAACACUUUUAAGCAUCCCUAUUUCCAAAACAUUAUUUAGCCUAACAUAAUGUAUCUAUGUAUGUUUGCUAAAACUUUUCGUUCUUGUUCUUUCCUUUUAAUUAAAAUUUGGUUUAAAAGUAACCAAUUUGAUUCCGAUAGUUAGAUGGUCUUUUGACGCUUAACCUUUUUUUGAGUGAAAUCGAUUUUUAGUUCCAUUUAGCUUAUUAUUACUUUAAAUUUCAUUAUUUUCUGCUAAUUUUAAUUAUUUAAUUUACGAUCGAAACUACGUUCACAAAAAAGUAAUAACAUGUCUCACAAUGCGAUUAAUUUGUAAAUAUGUAGUAGGAACGCUUAAAUUCGAUAACUUAAUUUCUGCAUAUAUUAAACUUUUAAAAGACAGUUUGAGUUAUCGAGCAUCGACUGUAUCUUUUGUCUGUA